RNAcentral lists this long non-coding RNA (288 nucleotides) under Mytilus galloprovincialis (Mediterranean mussel). The record is from RNAcentral. Lineage: Eukaryota; Metazoa; Mollusca; Bivalvia; Mytilida; Mytilidae.
AGAAACAAUAUGUCAAUGUCAGACAGAAAAAAACAGUCCUGUUAGUCUGUUAGAAGAAGACAACAAGGUGACUAAUAAUAUCGACAACGGUAAGAUGGAAACAUCGGGAUAUUUAUAUAAAGAAACCAUUUCACGAUCAAGUCUCUCAGAUGAUGGAAAAAGCAGCAUCAAAAAGUACGGAAUUGAUAGCGAAUCUUGUGCAGAUGUGAAAGGUAAUACAUUGCAGUGUUUUUGUCCUUUUAUAAAUCAGCACGACAGCAAAUUUUUAUUAUUAAAUGUAUUUAAUUU